This 465-nucleotide ribosomal RNA is filed under the name uncultured bacterium. RNAcentral describes it as "partial 16S ribosomal RNA". It matches the Rfam family "Bacterial small subunit ribosomal RNA", at positions 28 to 507 of the family's 1533-position model. The record is from RNAcentral.
GACGAACGCUGGCGGCGUGCUUAACACAUGCAAGUCGAACGGAAAGGCCCCGCUUUGGGGUGGUCGAGGGGUGGACGGGGGGGGAACAACAGGGUAAUCUCCCCUUGACUUUGGGAUAACUUCAGGAAACUGGGGCUAAUACCGCAUAGGAGCUGCUGCUGCAUGGUGGGGGUGGGUGGGUUUCGGCGGUUGGGGAUGGACUCGCGGCUUAUCAGCUUGUUGGUGGGGUAGUGGCUUACCAAGGCUUUGUCGGGUAGCCGGCCUGAGAGGGUGACCGGCCACAUUGGGACUGAGAUACGGCCCAGACUCCUACGGGAGGCAGCAGUGGGGAAUAUUGCACAAUGGGCGGAAGCCUGAUGCAGCAACGCCGCGUGCGGGAUGACGGCCUUCGGGUUGUAAACCGCUUUCGCCUGUGACGAAGCGUGAGUGACGGUAAUGGGUAAAGAAGCACCGGCUAACUACGUG